GGCUCCCGCCUGGCUGGGAGGCGGGAGGGAUCCCGCUCCUGUUGUUUUCCGCCGGCAGGAGUAGGCUGGCGGGCGCAGGGGGCGGGGUGCGCCCUCCCUCCCCGGCCAGGGCGCUCGGGAGCGGGGACCCGAGCCUGCAGCCGAGCUCCGCUGCCGGCCCUGGACACUCGGCUCAGCCAAGCAUCCUUCCUGGGGGCCGAGGAAGUGGGGCCACUCUGCCGUUCCGAGGACCUGGGAGGAGCCCUCGGUACCCCGGGCCCCGGGGCCCUGGGGCACACACGUCCAGCCCAGCCCGAGCCUGCGUUUCCUGAGCCGGGAUCUGGGGCGAGAUGGCCGCAGGCGGCAGUGCGCCCGAGCCCCGCGUCCUCGUCUGCCUCGGGGCGCUCCUGGCCGGCUGGGUCGCCGUAGGUUGAACUCGCCUUACACCUGUAACCGGUGGACUUCCCUACACACCUUUGCAAGUCUUCCUGUGCCGACCAGCGCCUUCAAAGCGGGGUCUUCCGCCUUUACUUUUGGAAAAGCUUUUUAUUUUGAAAUACUUGGCUGACUUACAAAAGACUUCCCCUCACACUUGACAUGAUUGACAAAAGGAUUGGAGGCUGUUGUCAUUGGAGAAGUUCAUGAGAAUGUUACUCUGCACUGUGGCAACAUCUCGGGACUGAGGGGCCAGGUGACCUGGUACCGGAACAACUCGGAGCCUGUCUUCCUUCUCUCGUCCAACUCUAGCCUCCGGCCAGCUGAGCCUCGCUUCUCUCUAGUGGAUGCCACCUCCCUGCACAUUGAAUCGCUGAGCCUGGGAGAUGAGGGAAUCUACACCUGCCAGGAGAUCCUGAAUGUGACUCAGUGGUUCCAAGUGUGGCUGCAGGUGGCCAGCGGCCCCUAUCAGAUUGAGGUCCACAUCGUGGCCACCGGCACACUCCCCAACGGCACCCUCUACGCAGCCAGGGGCUCCCAGGUGGACUUCAGCUGCAACAGCAGCUCCAGGCCACCACCCGUGGUUGAAUGGUGGUUCCAGGCCCUGAAU
RNAcentral lists this long non-coding RNA (1024 nucleotides) under Homo sapiens (human). RNAcentral describes it as "non-protein coding lnc-TAOK3-1:14". Lineage: Eukaryota; Metazoa; Chordata; Mammalia; Primates; Hominidae. The record is from RNAcentral.